AGUCUUCAAUUUCAGAAAGGGAAAACACAGGCAGUCAAAAGUUGUGAGCAGAAAGACAUCUUUAGAGUCUGUCAAAUCAUUUCAUUUUAAGCUCUUCAUUUCACAGUUGUGUCAUGUAAGGUACCUUAAUUACAGAAUCCUUUCCUUUUCCUAAUUAAAUAUUGUAAUACAGUCAAGGAUCUUAAUUCUUUAGGCAUUUCAUAAUGUGUUCAAGAGCACUUAAUAUUUUGAACUUAGGGCACAUAAAAAGUUGAUUUUAAAAUUAAAGGGACAGUGGUAUUAUAUAAGAGCUGUAGUCAAGUAAUGAGAACGCUGGGCAUGCUGGGUGCCUUUAUUGCUCCAAUCUGUUGAGAGAGAAUGAAAAGAAGAAAUUGCGAAAAAAUUUGGGAGACUGUCUAUAGUUAGCUCUAGAAUGUGCUUUUUAAAAGGAAGUAUUUGAUCUCUUAAGGAUACUUAGUGAUAGCUUCUUUAAUAAUUGUGAUCUUUCAUUGCUGAUCUAUUAU
This 503-nucleotide long non-coding RNA is filed under the name Lynx pardinus (Iberian lynx). The record is from RNAcentral. Lineage: Eukaryota; Metazoa; Chordata; Mammalia; Carnivora; Felidae.